GUUGGAACAAAUUGUUCUCAUCUACCUAUUCUACCAGGUCACCUCUUCUAAUGACACCAAAGAUGACCCAUAGUUGUAACUAGAAUGGGGCCCCCAGAGCUUUGCCCUAGGAUGCUGCCAUGGAGGAAAGAUGGAUCUUUACUUCUUCCUGAAAGCAGGAUGCUUACAGUCACUCAGCUUUGUCCUGCUCCUGGGUCUUCUCCCAGGCUUCUCCUUCCCUCCCUUUCUGAAGAUUGGGGGAUCAGAGAUUAUGGAAGAAAUAAUCAUAAAAGUCAAGGACUAUGUCUUGCCCCAACUUCCUUUACAAGACAUGGGGUGUGGGAGCCUCUCAUCUGGAAGUGGCCUGUCUGAACAAAGGGAGGAAGGAAACAAGCAUUUAUUAAGUACUUACUAUGUGCCA
Molecule: long non-coding RNA, 400 nt
Organism: Vombatus ursinus (common wombat)
Lineage: Eukaryota; Metazoa; Chordata; Mammalia; Diprotodontia; Vombatidae
Exons: 3
Source: RefSeq, a predicted model, not a curated record